This 332-nucleotide ribosomal RNA is filed under the name uncultured bacterium. Its description in RNAcentral is "bacterial SSU rRNA". It matches the Rfam family "Bacterial small subunit ribosomal RNA", at positions 568 to 898 of the family's 1533-position model. The record is from RNAcentral.
UGCGCAGGCGGCCCUCGUCGGUGUGUGGUGAAAUCUCCCGGCUUACCUGGGAGGGUGCCACGCAGACCAGAGGGCUUGAGGUUCGGGGAGGGCGUGGAAUUCCGGGUGGAGCGGUGAAAUGCGUAGAGAUCCGGAGGAACACCGACGGCGUAAGCAGCGCCCUAAACGAGUCCUGACGCUCAGGCACGAAAGCUGGGGGAGCAAACAGGAUUAGAUACCCUGGUAGUCCCAGCCCUAAACGAUGUCCACCAGGUGCCGCGGGUAUCGACCCCUGCGGUGCCGCAGCUCACGUGAUGAGUGGACCGCCUGGGGAGUACGGCCGCAAGGUUGAA